UACAGAGGUCCCGAGCGUUGUUCGGAUUCACUGGGCGUAAAGGGUGCGUAGGUGGUUGGGUAAGUCUGAUGUGAAAUCUCCGGGCUCAACCCGGAAAUGGCAUUGGAUACUAUUCGGCUAGAGGUUUGGAGGGGGGACUGGAAUUCUCGGUGUAGCAGUGAAAUGCGUAGAUAUCGAGAGGAACACCAGUGGCGAAGGCGAGUCCCGGACAACACCUGACACUGAGGCACGAAAGCUAGGGGAGCAAACAGG
RNAcentral lists this ribosomal RNA (252 nucleotides) under uncultured bacterium. RNAcentral describes it as "partial 16S ribosomal RNA". It matches the Rfam family "Bacterial small subunit ribosomal RNA", at positions 524 to 776 of the family's 1533-position model. The record is from RNAcentral.